Molecule: transfer RNA, 86 nt
Filed under: Peptococcaceae bacterium BRH_c8a
Lineage: Bacteria; Bacillati; Bacillota; Clostridia; Eubacteriales; Peptococcaceae
Also listed under: 1 other name
Description: tRNA-Leu
Rfam family: tRNA
About the family: Transfer RNA (tRNA) molecules are approximately 80 nucleotides in length.
Source: RNAcentral
GCGGGCGUGGCGGAACGGCAGACGCGCUGGACUUAGGAUCCAGUGGGAGUGAUCUCGUGGAGGUUCAAGUCCUCUCGCCCGCACCA